This is a long non-coding RNA of Onychostoma macrolepis, 832 nucleotides long. RefSeq lists it as uncharacterized. The record is from RefSeq and is a predicted model, not a curated record. NCBI's taxonomy places the organism in Eukaryota, Metazoa, Chordata, Actinopteri, Cypriniformes, Cyprinidae. The transcript has 3 exons.
UUGACAUGAGACAGAAACGAAACCUCAUUAUGACCUUUGUUUUAUUUACAACCACAGAUGAAUACAAUUAGUCUGACCUCUAUAACAGAGUGUUGUAUUAAUGUCAUUGCAGUUACUCUCUGCCAUUGGUCUAAAGCGCUGUAUUAUCAAAGACAAACGGCACCUCUCUUUGAUGUGGGCUGAGUGUGAUCCAGGCAAUAAAACAAGCGUGUAUCUGCACCCCCCUGCCCACCUCCAGAGAGUUUCUCCUGCUCCGGUGUCACCCACAGUUCAGCGUCCGUGGAUGGACUGCCAGCCUGCGACCCGACGUGGACUGGGGCGUGGGGGGCGGCUCUGCUGAACAGUGCAUUCCAGGACAGAGAAAACACCUCUCUCCCAUCCCCAACACACGCUUUGUAACUGGAAGCCACAACACAGACGUGAUACUGUGCACACAAUAGGAGCUGGAGAGCUGCACGGCUUGAUGUGACGAGAUGGAUAAGCCGUGAAAGCAUGAAUCAACAGUGAGAAAUGUUAAUGGGGUUAUUACGCCAUUACGCUGAUCAAUGAGCGUUUUAAGAACUUUUCAUGACUGAUGAUGCCCUCACUUAUCACAGGAGAAAUACUUCAUUAAUGUCACAGGACAUUUGAUGUUUGGACCUACUGAUGUCUCAGUUGGCUGACGCAAGCACCAAGGAUGGGGCCGGUGUCCAGGGGCCUUUGCCCUACCAGGGGUCUUGAGCUGAGAGGGCCUAAGAGUGGCCUGAAACCUGAAAACAAGGCACUGGAAAUGUAAUAUUGAACUGUUUUAAAAUGCAUGCCAAUGUCUUCCCAAAAUGUGGAAUAAAUAAAC